RNAcentral lists this ribosomal RNA (467 nucleotides) under uncultured bacterium. RNAcentral describes it as "partial 16S ribosomal RNA". It matches the Rfam family "Bacterial small subunit ribosomal RNA", at positions 28 to 506 of the family's 1533-position model. The record is from RNAcentral.
GACGAACGCUGGCGGCGUGCUUAACACAUGCAAGUCGAACGGAAAGGCCCUGCUUUUGUGGGGUGCUCGAGUGGCGAACGGGUGAGUAACACGUGAGUAACCUGCCCUUGACUUUGGGAUAACUUCAGGAAACUGGGGCUAAUACCGGAUAGGAGCUCCUGCUGCAUGGUGGGGGUUGGAAAGUUUCGGCGGUUGGGGAUGGACUCGCGGCUUAUCAGCUUGUUGGUGGGGUAGUGGCUUACCAAGGCUUUGACGGGUAGCCGGCCUGAGAGGGUGACCGGCCAGGUGGGGAGUGAGAUGCGGCGCAGACUCCUGCGGGAGGCAGCAGUGGGGAGGGUUGAACAAUGGCCGGAAGCCUGAGGCAGCAUGGCGGCGGGCGGGAUGAGGGCCGGAGGGUUGUGGACAGCUAUCGCCUGGGAAGAAGCGGGAGAGACGGCAAGGGGUAGAUGAGCAACGGCUAACCACGU